This 241-nucleotide long non-coding RNA is filed under the name Ananas comosus (pineapple). Its description in RNAcentral is "long non-coding RNA (ACOM_LNC038575)". Lineage: Eukaryota; Viridiplantae; Streptophyta; Magnoliopsida; Poales; Bromeliaceae. The record is from RNAcentral.
AUUUCUUGCGUCCACUUCGCUCCGAACUUCUCAAAACUCCUCUAAACACCUUUUAAACUCACUAAUAACUAUCCCCAACCAUCCAAAUUAAUUUGGGAAUACCACAAUUUACAUUCAUUCCCUACUUUGCUCAACUUGAUCAACAUUAACCUUAUAGUCCGAAGAUUUCCUUUCGAAUUCGUUUCGCGCCCAAAUUGCGCCUAAACAAUCAAUUAUCUCUAGAAUUCAUUCCUACACCUCC